Molecule: ribosomal RNA, 256 nt
Filed under: uncultured bacterium
Lineage: Bacteria
Description: partial 16S ribosomal RNA
Rfam family: Bacterial small subunit ribosomal RNA
Source: RNAcentral
GACAGAGGGUGCAAACGUUGUUCGGAUUUACUGGGCGUAAAGCGUGUGUAGGCGGCUUGGCAAGUUGGAUGUGAAAUCCCCGCGGCUCAACCGUGGACGUGCAUCCAAAAACUGCUUCGCUAGAGUCUCGGAGAGGAAGGUGGAAUGCUUGGUGUAGAGGUGAAAUUCGUAGAUAUCAAGCAGAACACCUGCGGCGAAGGCGGCCUUCUGGACGGAUGACUGACGCUGAGACACGAAAGCGUGGGGAGCAAACAGG